CACGCGGGCAUCACCCUCAGGAGGGACAUAAGGGUCUAUAAUACUGGCUGUGCAGGCCAAGUAAAAGGUUCGUUCCAUGCGCUCCUCAGGAAGCGUUCUGAUCAAAGACUGCAGCCUCUUCUCCUUCUCUUCAUGGGGCAGCUCCCGGGCCCACUCGGGGACAAAAAGUCUCCGCUUCGUCCUCACAGGGACAACGAGGAAGGCUGGAACAGCUCUGGGGGGACGCAGCAGCGAUUCCAUGGCCCCGCGGCCCAGCCUGCUCAGCCCCGCCGCCAUGGCGGCCGCCAUCUUCCCGCCGCA
RNAcentral lists this long non-coding RNA (300 nucleotides) under Gallus gallus (chicken). Lineage: Eukaryota; Metazoa; Chordata; Aves; Galliformes; Phasianidae. The record is from RNAcentral.